UGGGGAAGUCUUGGACAAUGGGCGCAAGCCUGAUCCAGCCAUGCCGCGUGAGUGAUGAAGGCCUUAGGGUUGUAAACUACUUUCGUCGGGGACGCGGUACCCGAAGAAGAAGCCCCGGCUAACUUCGUGCCAGCAGCCGCGGUAAUACGAAGGGGGCUAGCGUUGUUCGGAUUUACUGGGCGUAAAGCGCGUGUAGGCGGGCUGGUAAGUUGGGGGUGAAAUCCCGAGGCUCAACUCGGGAACUGCCUCCAAAACUGUCAGCCUGGACUCAAGUAGAGGCAAGUGGAAUUGCGAGUGUAGAGGUGAAAUUCGUAGAUAUUCGCAGGAACACCAGUGGCGAAGGCGACUUGCUGGACUUGUAGUGACGCUGAGACGCGAAAGCGU
Molecule: ribosomal RNA, 384 nt
Filed under: uncultured bacterium
Lineage: Bacteria
Description: bacterial SSU rRNA
Rfam family: Bacterial small subunit ribosomal RNA
Source: RNAcentral